Long non-coding RNA from Lethenteron reissneri (Far Eastern brook lamprey), 2109 nucleotides. RefSeq lists it as uncharacterized. Lineage: Eukaryota; Metazoa; Chordata; Hyperoartia; Petromyzontiformes; Petromyzontidae. The record is from RefSeq and is a predicted model, not a curated record.
CGUCGCCAGCCUCCCUGUCGGCGCCGACCCUCCCGCCGCCGCCGCCGCCCUGCUCGUCGUCCGCCGUCGGCGUUCUGCUGCAACGAGUCGGCAAGGGGCACGGUGCGCGUUAGCGAGCCGUCUGCCAUUCUGCCGCUGGAUGAAGGCCCCGUAAGUCUGUGUUUGGUUACGAUGUUUGCUUGACCAGACUUCACCGUGCCCAUCAAAACGGAGUUGGCGAAUGGGAGGAAAGUCCCAGGGGCCGUUACAGAGAUAUUGCUCGCCAGUGACGCGAGCUAGCGAUGGCUGGGAAUCGAACUCGGGGUGGCAGUUCACAGUGCGGCGCGCUAACCACUUCGCCCUCGGCUAAAUCCAGAGAUUUGAUUUUGAGAAUCAAUAAUUUUUCUCUCUUUAUAUUUUACCAUCUCGUUUGUGCUGUAUCUCAAAGUCUGGUUUUAUGGUUUUGUUCAUUCCAUGAGUUUAAAUAUAGCAUUCACAUAUUUGCAUACAAUUGUAAUACUUUAUUUCAAAAUCACACACGCACAACAUGCGCUUAUCGGAAGUGUAAGAAACUUUUAAUCGGCACAUCAUUACAAGCCUGGGGCCGAUAUCACGCAUGUUCAAGUAUCGCAUUAGGUGGUCCAUGAUUUAUGAUUACUAAAAUAAAAUAUUGGAUUCUUCCAUAUAACACUGCAGUCAAACAGGUGCAAGCACUUCCGAUUAGCACGGUUGGCUUCGUACGGCGCGAAAAGAAUUCACCAUACACACGUAACACGGCCCUACGUACGAGCAUGACCCUACCCAUCAUCGGAUGCCCAGCUAUGCCUUACGCAUUGCCAACAUGCCGAUGUGAGCCUAGAAGUAUGCGUCUAUAACCGUGCACAUCCCUAUCUAUUACAGCUAUGCCAUUCUUGCGUAUAGCAAUAGAAUAGCAAUAUCAUUACAAUCUGCUAUUGCUACGUGUCAUUGCAAUGGGUUCUGAGCAAACCUAGAGCACGCAUCUAUUUUCAUUCACUCUAUUUGAGGAAUCAUGAAGUCGACGCAAGUUUUCUUUCACAAACUAAAACGUCUACCGCACAAAGGAGUCACGGCCUCGUCACGCUACGCUCUUCGGCGAAUCUCAGAAUAACCAAAGCAAUGUUUCUGUUCCCCAGCGCUGUAGAAAUGCUAUCAUUGUUGAGCAAUGUACUAACUGUUGUUGUGAUUGAAAUCAAGACUUCCGGCAUCGGGCGUCGACCAAGCAUCUCAUGAGCGGACGUGGUGUCCACUCCACUUGUUAUUGUGCCCAUGGUAAUGAAUGGCAAUGCAAAUGUAGUAUUAAUGCGAGCUAAAAAUGCUGCCGUGAUUAUAAUUAAAUGUUGCCCAGGUUCUGCUUGUGAGCUUUUGAAUACAGCACCAUGUGUGUUUGUAAUGGAAACGAGUCAAAUUAAUUGUUGGGUGUUUUUUUAAGUGAGAGUUCUUAAGUAUGUAAUGAAUAAUAAAUGGAAUCACAACCCCCCUAAACCUCACGCCCCCACCCCACCCUAACAAGAUACUUGUUUGUCUAGUCGAUGCUCCCGUCCCCUGGUUGUUAGUUGAUCUCAACGAAGAGCAAGUUCCCAUCGGGCCACGGGACAUGAUGCAGAGAGUUGGAGAUGGGUGCAUAGUGGCGUCCGCUCCUGCCACCUCACUUCUCAUGGCCCACUUUUAUACUACUACUUUUAUUUUACCAGGCGUAGGGUAUGGCCCCGUCUGCUUGCCCCCGAUGACCACACAGCAACGACGCACGCGCGUACAAGACGCAAGACCGUAUAAAUGGAGGCUUCACCUCUGCUCGUCCCUCCAGCCGCCCUCGUCUUCAGAGCGUGGCAGCGGCGUCUCGUCUGUCCGCAACGGAAACAGCUUCUGCAGUCCGCACGAAAUGGUAAAAAAAAAAUUGGUAAUUUUGUUGUGUCAGUCUUCUUCUCGUGUUGGCCAUCACAAGUCGAUAUCCAAAUCGCUGGACCGCUCGGUGUCGGUGUGAUCCAGUUAAGUCACUUCGCCUUCUAGCCAACGGCGCAAGGGGCAGCCGUCAACAAAAUGGACGACUGUUGCUGGGUAGCUCCGUAGUCACAUAACGUAUGGGUGGUACGCAUGCACUUUUUUAAUAUG